This is an RNA transcript of Cebus imitator (Panamanian white-faced capuchin), 2996 nucleotides long. It is a transcript of the gene named keratin, type II cytoskeletal 8-like, with no coding region annotated. The record is from RefSeq and is a predicted model, not a curated record. The transcript has a single exon. NCBI's taxonomy places the organism in Eukaryota, Metazoa, Chordata, Mammalia, Primates, Cebidae.
GCUGACAUGGUGCCACUGCACUCCAGCUUGGGCAACAGAGACUGUCUAAAAAAAAAAAAAAAGAUAGCAUAGGCAACUUAAACCAAGCCAGAGGGAAUUGAAAAUAAGGGACCUACUGGAGAAAUAAGAAAGACACAGUGAAUACUAGUUGGCUCUACCCUUAAUGGGAGGACCUAGGGAGAAGUUGGAGUAAACUGAGAUUUCCAGCCAGGGAGACUUUGAAUGGCUGUGAAUGGCGAUAUUCUUAACAGGGAAGGGACAUAGGAAUAUAACAGCGUUUUACCCUUGGACAGUGAGUUUGAGGUGUUGCCUAUUGGACAUCUGUCAUGUCUCGCCACUUUUCAGUAUGAGUCUGGCCCUCAGGCAAUAGCAGAGACUUGAACGGAGCUGUAGAGUCACAAAUGGUCUUUAUAGACAGGUUAGUUGAAGCCAUAGGCAUAGAUGAGCUCAUUUGGUAGAUGAAUUUAGAGAUUAAAAGUUCCUUGUUUCACCUAAUAAAUCUUCUUAGCCAGUUAUUAUUAUUGUGAGCCUGGCUUUUUCACCAGACCAAGUUCUUCUUGUUCAAGGAAUUCAAAGAUAAAGAAACCAGGCUGCAAUUCUUUCUGAUUGAUGUUUGGUUUCUAAAAGAAAUUUUCCUUCUUCUCUAAUUCACAAACUCUUCUAUACUUUUGUCACAUUAUAUACACUUAAGUUUAAACCAGUUUCUAUGUAUGUGAUGUUUAUAUUAUGUUAUUAAGAAAUAGACAUUUUUUGGAAGAAAGAAUUUGGCAUUUUGGAAAUAAUCAGUAAAUUAAAAAAUACAUGCACCACUUUCCCAUUCUUCUCCCCCCCUCAACCCCUAACCCUGUCCUCAAAUGCUUAGCUAGUGAAAUAUUAAAAUGUUGUAAUAGAAAUUGGAGUCAAGGUCUACUGGCUGAAGAGACCAUCUAUUUUCAGAUGGAAGGAGAGAGAACAAACUAAUCAAGAAUCAUUGGUUUGUUGCCUCUGUUGUUUUAUUUCUGACCUGUGCAUAUAGCUUUUGAAGUGGAGAUAUGCUAGUUCUUGGCAACUGAUACUUUCUGGGCAUGCAUUUUAUGAAAUAAUAGGUAUGUAUCUGCCUCAUUGUUUUAGGCCAUGUGUUUCUCUAGUUAAAAAAAUCAUUGGCAAAUGAAGAUCUGUCUGAAUUCAUGUAAACCCUAAGUUUUUAUUUACCUUAACAUUCAUGUGUUUUAAAUGUGUGUAUGGAGGUUUAAAAAAAAAAUACUGUAGAAGCAGCAGCUUCUCCGCUCCUUCUGGAAUCUCUCCCUGGUUCAGCCCGCCUGCCUCCACUCCUGCCUGCACCAUGUCCAUCAGGGUGACCCAGAAGUCCUACAGGGUGUCCACCUCUGGCCCCCGGCCUUCAGCAGCCACUCCUUCACGAGUGGGCCCAGUGCCCGCUUGAGCUCCUCGAGCUUCUCCCGAGUGAGCAGCACUGGCUUCCGUGGUGGCCUGGGUGCAGUCUAUGCGGGGGCCAGCGGCAUAGGCAUGGGAGGCAUCACUGCCGUCACCAUCAACCAUCACCUGCUGAAUCCCAUUAAGCUGGACAUGGACCCCAACAUCCAGGCCGUGCGCACCCAGGAGAAGGAGCAGAUCAAGACCCUCAACAAGAAGUUUGCUUCCUUCAUUGACAAGGUGUGGUUCCUGGAGCAGCAGAACAAGAUGCUGGAGACCAAGUGGAGCCUCCUGCAGCAGCAGAAAAUGGCCCGGAGCAACCUGGACAACAUGUUUGAGAGCUACAUCAACAACCUGAGGCGGCAGCUGGAGACUCUGGGCCAGGAGAAGCUGAAGCUGGAGGCAGAGCUUGGCAACAUGCAGGGGCUGGUGGAGGACUUCAAGAACAAGUAUGAGGAAGAGAUCAAUAAGCGUACAGAGAUGGAGAAUGAAUUUGUCCUCAUCAAGAAGGAUGUGGAUGAAACUUACAUGAACAAGGUAGAGCUGGAGUCUCGCCUGGAAGGGCUGACUGACAAGAUCAACUUCCUCAGGCAGCUGUAUGAAGAGGAGAUCCGGGAGCUGCAGUCCCAGAUCUCCGACAUGUCUGUGGUGCUGUCCAUGGACAACAGCUGCUCCCUGGACAUGAAUAGCAUCAUCGCUGAGGUCAAGGCGCAGUACGAGCAGAUUGCCAAUCGCAGCCGGGCUGAGGCAGAGAGCGUAUACCAGAUCAAGUAUGAGGAGCUGCAGAAGCUGGCUGGGAAGCACGAGGAUGACUUGUGGCGUACGACGACUGAGAUCUCCAAGAUGAACCGGAACAUCAGCCGGCUCCAGGCCGAGAUCGAGGGCCUCAAAGGCCAGAGGGCUUCCCUGAAGGCCGCCAUUUUAGAUGCUGAGCAUCGCGGGGAGCAGGCACUCAAGGAUGCUCGUGCCAAGCAGCAGCAGCUGGAGGAAGCACUGCAGAAGGCCAAGCAGGACAUGGCACGGCAGCUGCGUGACUACCAGGAGCUGAUGAAUGUCAAACUGGCCCUGGACAUCGAGAUCGCCACCUACCGCAAGCUACUGGAGGGCGAGGAGAGCCGGCUGGAGUCUGGGAUGCAGAUCAUGAGUAUCCACACGAAGACUACCAGCAGCUAUGCAGGUGGUCUGAGCUCUGCCUAUGGGGGCCUCACAAGCCCCGGCCUCAGCUACGGCCUGGGCUCCAGCUUUGGCUCUGGCGCGGGCUCCACCUUCAGCCGCACCAGCUCCAUCAAGGCCGUGGUUGUGAAUAAGAUUGAGACCCGCGAUGGGAGGCUGGUGUCUGAGUCCUCUGAUGUCCUGCCCAAGUGAACAGCUGCAACAGCCCCUCCCAGCCUGCCCCUCCUGAGGCUGCCCCAGAGCCCGGGAGGGAGGUUGCUGUGCAGGGGAGCACAGGGAACUCGAGACCCACCCCAUGCUCAGCCCUAGCCCUCAGCCCACCUGCGGGGAGUUUACUGCCUGGGGACCCCCCUUGCCCAUGCCUCCAGCUGCAAAACAAUUCAAUUGGCUUUUUUUUUUUUUUUUUUUAUUUA